This 77-nucleotide transfer RNA is filed under the name Bordetella bronchiseptica MBORD632. RNAcentral describes it as "tRNA-Arg". The record is from RNAcentral. Lineage: Bacteria; Pseudomonadati; Pseudomonadota; Betaproteobacteria; Burkholderiales; Alcaligenaceae.
UGCCGCCUAUGGCCUGGCGGGUGCGCGCUUGCGGGGCGAGCGCGGCGCCACGCCCGUUGACGCCGGCGGCCGGCGGC